Molecule: transfer RNA, 93 nt
Organism: Coprinopsis cinerea okayama7#130
Lineage: Eukaryota; Fungi; Basidiomycota; Agaricomycetes; Agaricales; Psathyrellaceae
Rfam family: tRNA
About the family: Transfer RNA (tRNA) molecules are approximately 80 nucleotides in length. Their secondary structure includes four short double-helical elements and three loops (D, anti-codon, and T loops).
Source: Rfam
GCUGGGAUGGCCGAGUGGUUAAGGCGAGUGAUUUGAAUGCAUCUCAAUAUCACUUGGUGUUUCACCGCGUAGGUUCAAAUCCUGCUUCCAGCG